CAUAUCCAAACACGCUUUCACUCUCAGAAACCAGCCCGUCACCAACCUCCCCACCGCUCCCGCGCAGUUGCUGCCUUUUUCUCCCCGCCGUCCACCAUUCGAUACUCACCAGCUCUGUCUCUCGACCUCGUGUCCUCCCUCCCUCCCUUUCGCCCCCACCCCCAGCGCGAGGACUCUGCACGUCCUGCUCUUCCCCGCCCCUUCCCGUUGAAUCCGGUCGCCCAAGUGCUCAAGGAAGCGCUCGAACUCGUCAUGCCCACGGGCGAGCCAGCGCUAGGCGCCGCCAGAGGCGGAUGAGGAGGCGCGGGGCACGUCGGAGGACUCCACAGCUCCGGCCACACAAAAUACAAGGUUGUGUACCACGAUUGCUUACUUCAGACUUGAAGCAAUUCUAAACAUGGCUUUGUGAAGCAUAGUUCGUGAUCACAGACAGAAAUCUGUUUGAGUCUUCAGAUGAGCUGCAGGAUAGUAUUGUGGUUAUUCAGCAGAGCAGUUGUGAUAGAUUUUUUCCUGAAUUGCUCUGGGAUGUGUUUACAAGGUUGUAGGAAGAUGACAUCAAUUGGCCAUCCCGCAAGGAUAUAGUUAGGAAUCCAGGAUUUUGUGGAAAGCUCACGUUACCUGUAUGUCUUAAUCAGUGCCGAUUCUCUGAAGAAACCUGAAGAAAUAUGUGGAGUUGCUCGACGCCUCGUCCGGCGUUCGGCGUUCGGCGUCCGGCCAGUGCCGGUGUCGUCAGUGGCGUCGACUUCCCGGCCACGGAAUGCAGUUCGGCCUAGAGUCCCCGGACGCCCGGUGUGCAGGCGGCCUCGAUUCCGUGUCGUGGAGGGCUGAGGGCGUCAGCGUGGAGGCGAUAGGGCAGCAGAUCGACGACGGCGAGGACUGCGGUGGUGUUUGAACUGCGUCAUGGACGGCGAGAAAGAGUGCUGAGCGGUAGGGGAGUGCGUCGUGGUAAACAGUUGGUUUUUUGUUUGCGUUCGUGGGGAUAAAUUGGUUAGCCAUUGGAGCGGACGUCUGGUUCCUUCAAACACGGGAGAGUUUUGAGGCGUUGGAUAUUUUGAUUGAAGGGCUAAGAUUGGUUGGAUCAGACCCUCUGGGUCUUUUAUUAGUAGUAAGAGUGAGUUCACUGUAUAUUUAGCUUGAGUUUCAUGAAAUCCUGUUAGGCCAGCACCUCGUUGGUGAGGAUUAGGCCUCAUAGAUUUGCUCCCUACAUUAGUGUCAGAAUAUUCCUAGAACGCCUCAAUCUUUCUAACUAAGGUGGGAGAUUCUUGCAUAGUUGCAUAUGAUACCUGAUGCUUCAUCU
Long non-coding RNA from Lolium perenne, 1297 nucleotides. RefSeq lists it as uncharacterized. The record is from RefSeq and is a predicted model, not a curated record. Lineage: Eukaryota; Viridiplantae; Streptophyta; Magnoliopsida; Poales; Poaceae.